UGAAAUAUGCCUUUCAUCUUUAAUUAUUAUUUCAUCCAUUAAUUAACUGUUCAUUCAUUCGCUUAACACUUAAUGGCAUUUUGAUUCUAAUAAUUUGUAGGCUUGAAGAAAUAUUACUAGGAACCACCUUCAUCAUGGAUCAUAAGCCUUAUCAUCCAAUUGGGUUUUUUCUUAUUAAUUUUCAACAAUGUGUGUAUGUGGGGGGAAUCUGUUCACAUAUAAAUGUAUUCCCAAACAAAGCAAUUAUUCUUAGUUCAAAAAUUCGUAACUGAUUUAUUUUUUGACAGAAACAAAUAAAAUUUAAUAAAAUACU
Molecule: long non-coding RNA, 313 nt
Organism: Stegodyphus dumicola
Lineage: Eukaryota; Metazoa; Arthropoda; Arachnida; Araneae; Eresidae
Source: RefSeq, a predicted model, not a curated record